CUACGGGGGGCUCCAGCUGAGGAUCUUUUACAAUGCACGAAAGUGUGAUAAAGCGAGCCAGAGUGUUGUUCUUAGAACAACUUUUGUCUGCUGUAAAAAGGCAGAUGAAUAAGGACUGGGUAAGACCGGUGCCAGCCGCCGCGGUAAUACCGGCGGUCCAAGUUGCAUCCAUUUUUAUUGGGUCUAAAACAUUCGUAGCUUGUUUUGUAAGUUUCUUGUGAAAUCUUAUGUCUCAAACAUGAGGCUUGCAAGAAAUACUGCAUAACUAGAGACCGGAAGGCGUAAGGAGUAUGAUUGAGGUAGCGGUAAUAUGUGUUAAUCUUAAUCAGACUAACAAUGGCGAAGGCACCUUACGAGUACGGAUCUGACAGUGAGGGAUGAAGGCUAGGGGCGCAAAACGGAUUAGAUACCCGCGUAGUC
This 420-nucleotide ribosomal RNA is filed under the name uncultured archaeon. Its description in RNAcentral is "partial 16S ribosomal RNA". It matches the Rfam family "Archaeal small subunit ribosomal RNA", at positions 323 to 746 of the family's 1478-position model. The record is from RNAcentral.